ACACUGGAAACAGAUGCUAAUACCGGAUAACAACAGAUGAUGCCUAUCAACUGUUUAAAAGAUGAUUCUGCUAUCACUCUUGGAUGGACCUGCGGUGCAUUAGCUAGUUGGUAGGGUAACGGCCUACCAAGGCGAUGAUGCAUAGCCGAGUUGAGAGACUGAUCGGCCACAUUGGGACUGAGACACGGCCCAAACUCCUACGGGAGGCAGCAGGC
Molecule: ribosomal RNA, 215 nt
Filed under: uncultured Lactobacillus sp.
Lineage: Bacteria; Bacillati; Bacillota; Bacilli; Lactobacillales; Lactobacillaceae
Description: partial 16S ribosomal RNA
Rfam family: Bacterial small subunit ribosomal RNA
Source: RNAcentral